This is a long non-coding RNA of Anneissia japonica, 1018 nucleotides long. RefSeq lists it as uncharacterized. The transcript has 4 exons. Lineage: Eukaryota; Metazoa; Echinodermata; Crinoidea; Comatulida; Comatulidae. The record is from RefSeq and is a predicted model, not a curated record.
UUUUUAUGUGUUUGUGGUAUGAUUGUGGUGUAGUUUUUAAUGUUUUUAUCCCCUUCAAUUAUGGUUUGACUUAUGCUAUAAUGUUAAUAAGAGAUUGCAAUAAAGUUCUUUGUAUUUCGUAUGCAUUGUUUUAAUCAUCCGAAUCAUCUGAUUAUGUUAUCCAUUGUUAGCUUAACAUGAAAAACAGUUGAAUCAUAAGAAUUUGAUCAGUUAAUAGGUUAAAAGUAAAGAAGGGUAGAGUCAACACUAGCAGGCAGUUGGGGAGGGAGAAAUUUCCUUUGUGAACAAGAAUAGACUUGUCAUCCGACACGAUUUGAGGUUGUUGGGCUAAAAAUAUUUUUUUGCCAUUCAAACCAAAGUUUAUUAUAUUGUGGUUUACCAUCCUAAACUAUAAAGGUAAUAUCUUUUUUUCCAAACAAGGUUUUUACCAGGACCCUGGCUGUUCCAAACAACGUUAAUACUUCAGGACCCUGACUGGAGGAAUCAAGCACCUUUUUUUUUUGUUAUUACCUGUUACACUUACUGAAUACUGUCAGCAAACUUCUGGAUCCACCACUGCACUUAUGUUGGCACUUCCAGGAGUAAACGAGGAUCUGGCAGAGGCAGGAUAUGAGUGAUUCGUUUUGGUCUGGUGAUGAAUUACAUGCAUGACUGGAAAUAUGCCCAUUGGAGAGGAGGCUGUUGCAUAUUCUGAUUCUUUAGUGUUUCCAAUAACCAAAGCAUAGCAGUUUAGAACAUACAGUACUCCAAGUAUUCACAAAGGUGCAAUACUGGUCAUAUCAACAUAUCAAAAAAAGCAGAGGCUCUGAAUACCCUAGAUCUGUGGCCCUAGAUCAUAAUCUUCAUUUCCCAUGCUGUAAUUUCUUCAGGUGAUCCUGAGAUGUGCUAAAAUAUGAAGUACUGGAAACCCACCAGGACUGAAUCCCACUGGGGAAACUUAUUGGCCCAGGCAACCAGCCAUGGAUUCAACUUUCUUCUGGAGACCAACUGCCACUCUCGGCAGCCCAUAAAUAGGUAC